AGCUGUCAACGAAUCUGCUCUGGCUGCAUUUCCCAGUCCUCUGUCCCUGCAGCAGCAGCCAGGGUCACUGAACCCUUGUCGGGUUCAAAGGACACUGCUGGCCCUGCUUCCAGUCAGUGUUCAAGGUCUCAAACAGAGCUGCUUCCGUCCCUCCUGCCAGCCAGGCUUCCUCAUUGUCCAAAAAGUGGGGCUUUUGAAUGCUCUUCUGUCCAACUUCAACCCAUGAAAGUGUGGGAGAUUCAAAUCCUGUUGGCCAGGCAGCAGGAGCAGGGUGAGGAGAUCUGGGAUGAGCACUGCAGGGUGCUGUUCUCCUUAGGGAUCCAUGUGGGAUACCAGGGUUAUCUCCUGGACACUGUGCCCAGCAGGGACAGCUUUCUGUCCAAAUCUCUGCAGACACCUUCCAAUGGAGCCUUGUCUUAAGGCUUCCUCCACCUUCUAAAGAGCGUGGGUGUUUUCACGCCCUGUUUUGGGGCUGUGGAAGUUUAUUCUGUCCAGUUUGCCCCACAGGCCUGGGAAACCAGUGUAGCACAAAGCAUGGGGAGUGUCCUGGAGCCAGCAAGGGGGUGAGUCCUGCUCCCUGUGCUGUGCCAGAUUUCUGGUUGGUGUAGGAAGCACCACUUGGAGAUUCUACGGGAGAAUCAGGGGUUCUGAUCAGCUGAAGUUAGGGGAUGGAGUUAAGGAUAUGAUAAGCAGCCACUGAAAGUCUGAAACUUUCCUCUCCUCUCUGUCCCCAGAACAGCUUUCGAGUUUGACUCCUAAAGACUGUCCCCACCUCCUUCUGCAAGCAAUAUCAGGGCCACUUGCAGCUGCCACAGCUUCCACUCUCACCAACCCCAUGGAUGUGGUGAGGGCUCGGGUCCAGGUGGAAGGCAAGAGCUCCAUCAUUCUCACCUUCAAGCAGCUCAUUGCAGAGGAAGGUCCCUGGGGGCUGACUAAAGGCCUCUCUGCCCGCAUCAUUUCGGCCACUCCUUCCACCAUCGUCAUCGUGGUGGGCUAUGAGACGCUGAAGAAGCUGAGCCUGCGCCCAGAGCUGGUGGACUCGAGGCACUGGUAGAGGCAGCUGGGGGAGGAGAACCUUCCUGUGAACUCUCUUGAGUCUGAACUGUUGCAAGGGAGAGCCUGGGAUGCCACGCAGCUGCUGUGCCUUUGUCUCCGGCUGGUUUCACAGCACAAGGCAGAUGCAAAAGCAGCUGCACUUCACCUCUUUGGGUCUGAGUGUCGUGCAAUGGUCUGCUGCUGGUUUCGCUUCACCUGUGACCUUGGGCAGUGCUCUUUGCCUGGAUCAGUCCGUUCCAGGUGUGUGAAUGCAUCCUGGCAAGUUGUUAAUUCCCUUUUUUUUUUUUUUUAAUUAAAGACUUACUGGCUUAAGCAAAAAAGCCAGUUUGAUUCUCUUUAAAUUAUUUUCAUCUUUGCCAAACUUCCGAGGAGUCUCACAGCCUGCAGCAGGACCCUCUGCUGGGAUGUCUCUAGUGGCAGUUGUGCUGUGGGAAGCUGGAAGCAGAAAAUAGAUGAGUGACUUUCUCCAAUUACCUGCUUUUAUUUCUAGAAGAUGUGAGACAAAGAGUAACCUGGAACCACUUCAGACCUGAUUUUCCUGCGUUUUGAAUAGAUCUACAUACUUGUUUUGUAUCUUCUUGGGAAAUGCUCCCUGUCUCUCAUCCUCCAAACAGCAAGCUGGCUGAGAGCAAGUCAGGAGCUGAGCUGGCUGUUUGGAAUUAGCUGAUGGCAGUUUUGACACCUAACCUGUGUUUUUAAUCUGUUGUAAUUUAAUUUUUUUUUUUUAUUUUAUUUUAGGGGAAGCUUAUUCUGAUUUCUGGGGAACUGAAUGGUUGUCCUGUGGCCUCGUUCAGUGUGUCAAUCCUGCAUGUUCCCAGUGGCUGUGGCCACUUCCCACCUUAGUUAGUUUAAGCCCAGAAAUGCAGUUUGGAAGUGUUUGCUCGUGGUGCUGCCAGCAGCUGGAUGAGAACUGAAUGGGCUUUGAGCUACAAUGAGAUGGGACGUGGGGAAGGAGAAACCUUGUGCUGGCUUUUGAUCCAGUUCAAACCUGACAGGCGUGUUUAUAUAAUAAGAAGUGAUGCUUCACUUCACGAGUUGAAAUUCUGCCCUUCCAGUUUGGGAAGGGCAAGGAUGAUGUUUUGCACAAUUGCUGGAUCAGAAGCCUGAGCUAUGGUCUGUGUAUUUUAACCAGGUGAAAACUUCAGGGGGAUGAAACCAGAGGCUGCUUUUUGGGGAGGGGGAGGGAGGGAGGGGGUUGUUGGACUGCACUCUGCUGCUCUUGGUGGUUGAGAUUUGCCUUUCAUGCUGCCAGCCCACACGUGCUGCUCGUCCUGGUUACCCUCAUCGGGGGGCUUCGGGGUGCACCCCCACACAACAGAGUGCACCACCUCCAUUCCCCUUCUGCCAUAACCAGGAGUUUUGGUUGAGGUGUUGAUCCUGCUGGCCUGUGGCUGUUGUUGGUCUCCACUGGGCUGUCUCUUCCCAAGGGGACUCGCCGAGUGUGGCCCUGCCCUUCGUCCCAGUGUUGUCCCUGCUCAGCAGACAUGCUGGAGAUGGAGGGUGCUGAAGCUGCUGCUGAGGUGGGAGAGGCUUCUCUGCUAAGGGCAGGGCUUGAUCCUAAGGUGCAGUGCUGUGAUGGGGCUGCGGGUGGGUCAUCAGAGCCCUCUUCAUCCCAGUUUUGUUUCUUGCAGCGCUCAGAAAGGCACUGGGUGCUGGAGCCACUGGUGGAGUUGUUGGAGCAGCUCCUUCUGCACCUGCUCCAGCCACCUGUUUGUUGUUUUAAAACUUGACAUCAGCCAGCUCUGGCUCUAACGAUAGAUUCUGCUCUGAAAAACAGAACAGCACCGAAUCACAAGGCAGCAGGAUGGUAACACGAAUAUUAACAGGAACAAUAAUGAUCAGCCUCUGCUGGGUGCAGCAGGGUCAGUCCCAGCGUGCAGAACAGAGGGGCGGCAGCACCAGUGUGGGGAGACACUGUCCAACUUAAUGUUCCUCUCGUAACCAGCAACGUUCUUGACACCUAAUAAACUUGAGACCUUCCGUUUGGUGCCUG
Motacilla alba alba is the source of this 3049-nucleotide long non-coding RNA. RefSeq lists it as uncharacterized. The transcript has 2 exons. Lineage: Eukaryota; Metazoa; Chordata; Aves; Passeriformes; Motacillidae. The record is from RefSeq and is a predicted model, not a curated record.